Molecule: long non-coding RNA, 548 nt
Organism: Pipistrellus kuhlii (Kuhl's pipistrelle)
Lineage: Eukaryota; Metazoa; Chordata; Mammalia; Chiroptera; Vespertilionidae
Exons: 2
Source: RefSeq, a predicted model, not a curated record
GGUGUUUGCACAGAUGGUGCUCCAGGUAUACUAGGAUGUCUAUCUGGAUUUCAACGUUUAGUACUGAAUGAGUCACCAAAAGUCAUCGGAACUUGCUGUACGAUUCAUCGGCAAAUAUUAGCAAUGAAGACACUGCCACAAGAGUUAUAAGAAGUAAUGAAAAGCAUCAUAAGUUAUGUCAAUUUUGUAAAGGCAAGCACUUUAAAAAGUGGACUGUUUUCUCAACUGUGCAACAAGUUGGAUGCGCCAAACAAUGCUCUGCUAUUUCACAAUGAAGUGAGAUGGUUGUUGAGAGGAAAAUUUUAAAACGUGAUUUUGAGCUUCAUGAUGAACUCCAAAUGUUUUUUAAUCAGAAAGCAAGACUUCAGUUCGAAGCACUUUUCAGCGAUAAAAGUGAACUGCAGAAAAUAGCUUACUUGGUUGCCAUCUUGAAUGAGUUAAAUUUAUCACUGCAAGAACCAAAUGCAACAUGCCUUGAUUUGUCUGAAAUGAUCCAAUCAUUGCAAAUGAAACUUCAGCUUUGGCAAAAAAAAAAAAAAAAAUUGGAU